GGGAGCGACUUGGCUUCGACAGGAGUAAGUCUGCUUAGAUGGCAUGUCGCUUUGGACAAAGCGUAAAAAGUCCAAAUUAAAAUUAAACGCAAAUAACGUUAAAUUUGCUCCUGCUUACGCUAAAGCUGCGUAAGUUCAGUUGAGCCUGAAAUUUAAGUCAUACUAUCUAGCUUAAUUUUCGGUCAUUUUUGAUAGUGUAGCCUUGCGUUUGACAAGCGUUGAGGUGAAAUAAAGUCUUAGCCUUGCUUUUGAGUUUUGGAAGAUGAGCGAAGUAGGGUGAAGUAGUCAUCUUUGCUAAACAUGUAGAAGUCUUUGUGGGGUUAUUUUUGGACAGGGGUUCGAUUCCCCUCGCUUCCACCA
This 360-nucleotide transfer-messenger RNA is filed under the name Campylobacter coli. It matches the Rfam family "transfer-messenger RNA". Rfam says of the family: Bacterial tmRNA, also known as 10Sa RNA or SsrA, is named for its dual tRNA and mRNA-like properties. Lineage: Bacteria; Pseudomonadati; Campylobacterota; Epsilonproteobacteria; Campylobacterales; Campylobacteraceae. RNAcentral also lists the same sequence under 1 other name. The record is from RNAcentral.